UUUUUUUUGGUUUUAUUAUUUUACGAGCGUUCACUGAACCGUUCGUUUUAACGAACGCGUUCGUCGGUUUUUCUUUGUUAACGAACGUCCGUUAUUUAACCGUUCGUCCGUUUUUCUUUUUCGUCGGAUUUUUCUCGUUAUUUUCUCAGAUUCGAUUUCUGAUCGAAUCUUCGAUUCUGUUUAACUUCUCGCUCGUUUAUCGGAAUCAGGCGAUUCAAGCGCCUAGAGUUUCGUCUCGAAAUUCUCUUUCUGUUUAACCUACUCAAACAAGUUUUUGCUACAGUAAAAUUUGACCUAGAUCCAGAUUAGCAUACGAAGUUUCUUUCUUUCGCCGUUUGACUUUCGUUGCUUCUUUCGAGUUGAUUCUUUUUGCAAACCGGAGUUCUUAAGUUGAACUUUCUGGUUGGAUCUUUCAUUCGAGUUUUACCUGUGCAUUAGAUGAGUACUGAUUGUAUGCUUGUUUGUUUGCGAUAGAGUACCCGGAGUGUGCCGCUUGUUACUUCGAGUCGCUAGGUUUUGCGGAUCAUCAGCAAGGCAAGUAACACUUUGAUCAUAUCCCGUUCAUACCCAGUUUUAUUGCAUUAGAUCUGUUUUCCUCAAACAUUGCAUGAUUAGGAUCUAAUUAAAUUGUGGGUAUUGGGAAGUAGUUGAGGUAGAACCUAUUACCUGUUUUCUAUUCAAACCCUUGGGAGUUACUUCUACGUUGCUUUUAUUAUUGCUAUGCUAUGCUCGUAGACGUGGAUUGGGUUUGAGUGAAAUUCAUGACACAUGUGAGAUUGUUAAUUAAUGGUUUACUUAAGGUGGCAACUUAAACUCACAUCUGGGUGGAUUGAGGUACCUGGGUAUUCCAGGAUUGCCUGUUUUUCUUUUGGACCGCCACCCAGGUUCAAGAGGAUCAUGAGAUUAUUCAUGCUAGGAACUUCCGUGUGCAGCCGCAAGCUAUUAUGGGCUCUAGCAUAGUUGACUAAGUUGUGUGAACUCUUACAGUGGUAGACUAGCAGAUGUAGGGGAAAGUAGGUGUAACUGUCUACCCAUACGUAAGGUGCAAACACUUCUGAAAGACUGUGUCUUGGUCAUCCGUUACUCAAACACCAUGUAGUGCGAGUAAUCCAACGGAGGAGAUCAAGUCUUGUGGGGAAAAGUGCACAAACCUCUGCAGAGUGUACAAACUAAUCAUGGUUAGCCGUGUCCCCGGUUAUGGACAACUUGAGUAUCUGGUACUUGGAUUAUCAUGUGAAUCCCAACACUAUGUUACUUCUAAUUAAUUUUGUUGGGUUAUUGAUGACUUCUAAUUGGGAUUGAGAUGCUGUCAACCAUCUCAAUGUUUCACAACCACCAUGAUAGUUAAAUAAAAUUUAUUCCUGUGAAGUAGGAUAAAAUUGGCUUUUCGCAAAAACUGUAACCAUAGAGCUUUCCACCAGCCAUAUAUGCAUGUAGUAUAGCAUUGUUAUUCAUUAUUCUCUAUGUGUUACAUUGCUAGCAUAUUCUAUGUGCUGACCCGUUUUCGGGCUGCAACGUUUCAUGUUGCAGACUUUUCAGACGACGAGUAAGAUGCCUUAGGUCGUGGUCUUAUACUCAGUGAUGCCGCUGGAGUUGAUGGACUCACUUAUCUUCCAAGUCUUCCGCUGUUAUCGUUAUUAGAUGGCCUUAAGCCAUGCUUAUCAUACUUAAUCUCUUCGGAGAUAUUCGAUGUAAAUAAGUGUGUGAUUGCCACUCUGUUAUAAAUCCUCCAUUUGUACUGUGCGUGUCAGCAUUACUGAUCCAGGGAUGACACUGGUGCACAGCAGCACAGACCAUUUGAGGUCUGGUCGCUACAAAGUUGGUAUCAGAGCACACGCUGACUAUAGGACACGACCACUAAUCUUAAGCCCUAGAAAGCUUCUCUCUUCUCAUUUCUGACCCCUCUCCACUUUCUACUCUUUUAGGAAUGGCGAAUGCAAGGAGCAAGUUCAUGCAACCGGAUGAAGACACGCCGUUUGGUCGGCAUUUGAAGGAAGUCACCAAGUACUUGAACAUAGGAAUACCAAGCAUCACCGGAACCUACAACGCCACAUUACCUGAAGAGGAGAGCUGGAAGAUUCAAGUUAUCAUUCCAGGAAGGACGUUUGAGCCAGUUACUGAACCCAUGAGAUUGGUUUUCGAAGCAACAACUUGGAGUUUAGGGAAGAGCAUGGCCGCACACAUCGCCAUGGGACGCAUCGGAGAAGUCUACCACCAGGAGCUUAAGGAUACAAUUUAUCAGAUUUGUGGACGUCGAGACGCGCAAUGGGAGAUGAUCAGAACCAAGAAGGAUGGAUCAAUUGCAGCUUUCAUCCAGGAGCAGAACCAACAUAUUCGACGCCAGGAGAAUCAGAUGUGCACGGACAAGGAAGAACUGAAGAAGGCAUUAACGAAGAUCAAGGAACUCCAAGGAGAACUCAAGGCUACACGCGAAGAUUAUUUGGAGGAAAUCAACGCGCUGGUAGGGAAGAUUGACGACCUGGAGAAUAAGAUUGGAGCAUUCGUGGGAAAUCCAGUGCCAAAAGCAGAAGUCGAUGAAUGCACUUGUCCGGAUAAUUACAUCAUCAUCGACGACACCGACUCGGAACCAAGUGAAGACGAAUGGAUUGAUGAAGCUGGAGUAGACAUCAUGGAGUCUUCAACGGAUCAGAAUUUUUAGUAGACCACCAUAUCAGUAGUAGUUUUCCCCCAUUUAAUAGUAUAGUUCAAGCACUUUGUAACGCUAGUUAGAUCGAUUGUUUUGCCUUGUUUGGAUUGAUUGAGUGAUAUUGAUUGAAUUUGUCUCAUGAGCAUAUGGGUAGUGUUUUCUCUCUAGACCUCAUUCUGUUCUUAAUUCUCAUCUUUUCUAAACCUAUCAGAUGCCUCCGAGACGCGACACCGGAUUUGUUUUCCCGCCAGAGAUCACCCAGUUGAUUCAGCAACAGAAUGCCCUGAUGCAAGUGUUAGUGCAGAACCAAGGCAACAAUAACAACAACAACCCACCGCCACCACCACCUGUAGAUCACUUAGCCCGUUUCUUAAGGCUAAACCCGCCGGUGUUUUCCAGUAGCACCGAGCCGAUUGUUGCAGAUGAUUGGCUCCGCAAAGUUGGAAGGGAGUUGACCACUGCAGGAUGCACAGAUGCGGAAAGAGUGUGUUUUGCCGCACAUCAGCUUGAUGGACCCGCAGCAUCAUGGUGGGAGAAUUAUACAGCCACGCACCCUAUUGACACUGUCACAUGGGACCAGUUUCAGCAAGCUUUCCGUACAGCUCAUGUUUCAGCAGGAGCUAUGGCUAUGAAGAAGCGUGAGUUUCGCAACCUACGCCAAGGAGGACGCACCGUAGGCCAGUAUGUGGAGGAUUUCAGUAAGUUAGCACAUUAUGCACCAGAUGACGUUGCUACAGAUGCAGCCAAGCAGGAGAAGUUUUUGGAAGGACUGAAUGAUGAGCUGAGUAUGUAGUUGAUGGUAGCAACCUUCAACAACUACCAGGAGCUGGUAGAUAGAGCUCUCAUGAUUGAAGGGAAGCAACAGCAGAUUGAAAACCGUAAGAGGAAGUAUGGACAAGGGAAAUAUAACUCAGGAGCUCAGCAGAAGCCUCGUUUUACCCCGAAGCCGGGAGGACAGUUUCAGCAUACCCAUGGAGGAGGUAGCUCGCACAACCAUAAUGGCUCCAAGAAUGGUAAUGGGAAUGGAGGAAGCAACGGACAGAACCGCACCAACCCAUCUACCCCAGCCAAGAGGGACCUGAGCCAAGUCACUUGUUUUAAGUGCCAGAAGAAUGGACAUUAUGCCAAUGAAUGUCCUGAAGCCCAAAAUGGAAAUGGCAAUGGAAGCUCUGGGAAGAAGCCGAACCCGUUCAACAAAGGACAUGUGAACCACGUGAGCGUGGAGGAGGUUGAAGCUCAGCCUGAUGCAGUAAUAGGUAAGUUUUUGGUUAAGUCAUUUACUGCAACUGUUCUUUUCGAUACUGGUGCAUCGCAUUCAUACAUAUCAAGGGGAUUCGUGAAUAAGUUUAAGAUGUCCACCAAAGUUCUCAGAAACCCUAUGUUAGUAACCUCGCCAGGAGCAGAGUAUAUGGCCACCCAAGGAUGUUUUCAGAUACCAUUGGCCAUUGGUAGGCAUGUUUUCCCCUCAGACCUCAUUGUUUUGGAAUCGCAAGGUUUGGGUGUGAUUUUGGGAAUGGAUUGGCUAUCGUUGUAUGGAGGAAACAUCGAUUGUGCCAGCAAGACGAUUUUGCUUACCACCCCGGAAGGAAAAAGGAUCAAGUAUGUAUCCCGGCAUAUGCCGAAGAGGACUCAAGUGAAUUCCUUAUCAGGAGUUGUACAGGAGGAAGUACCAGUGGUGAAAGAUUAUCCGGAUGUAUUUCCAGAAGAGUUGCCAGGCAUGCAACCGGAUAGAGACAUUGAGUUCUUGAUUGAACUUUUGCCAGGCACAGGGCCAAUAUCUAAGAGACCGUACAGGAUGCCCGCAAAGGAUUUGGAGGAAAUUAAGAAGCAGAUCAAGGAGUUACUGGAUAAAGGCUAUAUUCGCCCGAGUUCGUCACCUUGGGGAUCACCAGUACUUCUAGUGGAGAAGAAAGAUGGAUCACUAAGGAUGGUUGUUGAUUACCGAGGAUUGAAUGAAGUGACCAUCAAAAACAAGUACCCACUGCCGAUGAUCAAUGAUUUGUUUGACCGCCUGCAAGGAGCUAAGGUAUUUUCCAAGAUCGAUCUACGAUCAGGAUACCAUCAGUUAAAGAUUCGAGAGCAGGAUAUACCUAAGACGGCAUUUACCACCAGAUAUGGAUUGUAUGAGUAUACCGUUAUGUCAUUUGGACUGACUAACGCACCGGCCUAUUUCAUGAACUUGAUGAACAAAGUGUUUAUGGAGUUUUUGGAUAAGUUCGUCGUGGUGUUCAUUGAUGAUAUUUUAAUCUUUUCCAAGGAUGAAGAAGAGCAUGAGGAGCAUUUACGAUUGGUACUUGAGAAGCUCAGAGAACAUCAGUUAUAUGCCAAGUUCAGCAAAUGUGAGUUUUGGUUGAAGGAAGUUGGAUUCCUUGGACAUGUUAUUUCUGGAGAAGGAAUAGCAGUAGACCCUGCCAAGGUUGACACCGUGACAAGUUGGGAAUCACCCGCGACAGUUGGAGAAAUCCGGAGUUUUCUUGGACUUGCAGGAUACUACCGGAGGUUUAUUGAGAAUUUCUCAAGGAUUGCUAAGCCCAUGACUGAGCUAUUGAAGAAGGACACCAAAUUCAAUUGGACUGAGGAAUGUGAAGCUAGUUUCCAAGAGUUGAAGAAAAGAUUGGUUACCUCACCAGUGUUGAUUCUGCCAGAUCAACGCAAGGAUUAUGAAGUUUAUUGCGACGCUUCACGUCGAGGACUUGGAGCAGUGCUUAUGCAGGAAGGAAGAGUUGUGUCGUAUGCUUCACGACAACUUAAACCCCAUGAGAAGAAUUAUGCUACGCAUGAUUUGGAAUUAGCAGCCGUGGUGCAUGCAUUGAAGACAUGGAGACAUUUUCUCAUCGGAAACCAUUGUGAAGUGUACACGGAUCACAAGAGUUUGAAGUACAUUUUCACGCAGAAGGAGUUAAAUCUCAGACAGAGGAGAUGUUUGGAGCUCAUCAAGGAUUAUGAUUUGAGAUUGCAUUAUCACCCUGGAAAGGCUAACGUAGUAGCAGACGCGUUGAGCCGCAAGAGUCAUGUUAACACCCUCAUGACCGGAGAGUUACCGCAGGAGUUAGCCGAGGACCUACGCGAGCUAUGUUUGGAGAUAGUCCCAAGAGGCUAUUUAGCGACAUUGGAGAUUCAGUCUACCUUGAUGGAAAGGAUCAGAGAAGCUCAGAAGACAGACAAGGAGAUUGAGGAGAUAAAGGAGAAGAUGAGCAAAGGAAAAGCCAAGGGAUUUCGUGAGGAUGAGCACGAUACCUUAUGGUUCGAGGACCGCGUAUAUGUGCCAAAUGAUCCGGAGAUCAGGAAGUUGAUUUUGCAAGAAGCCCAUGAUUCACCGUACUCGAUUCACCCAGGGAAUACCAAGAUGUAUUUGGAUUUGAAGAAUACUUUCUGGUGGACCGGAAUGAAGAAGAAUAUUGCGGAGUAUGUAGGAGUUGUGAUGUAUGUCAGAGAGUGAAGGCAGAGCAUCAGAAGCCAGCAGGAUUGCUACAGCCAUUGCCGAUACCCGAAUGGAAGUGGGAUAAAAUAGGCAUGGAUUUUAUCACAGGAUUACCCAGGACUCGUUCAGGCUAUGACUCGAUAUGGGUUGUAGUCGACCGUUUGACGAAAGUGGCUCAUUUCAUUCCAGUGAAAACCACUUACACCAGUGCUAAGUUGGCAAAGAUAUACAUGACCAGGAUCAUAUGUUUGCAUGGAGUUCCGAGGACCAUUGUAUCAGACAGAGGAACCCAAUUUACCUCGAAGUUUUGGAAGCAGUUACAUGAAACGUUGGGAACCAGGCUGGAAUUUAGUACAGCAUUUCACCCACAGACAGAUGGACAGACCGAGAGAGUCAACCAGAUUUUGGAGGACAUGUUGAGAGCAUGUGCACUAGAUUAUGGAUCUAGUUGGGACGACAAUUUGCCAUAUGCGGAGUUUUCGUAUAACAACAGUUACCAAACCAGUUUGAAGAUGGCCCCUUUCGAAGCUUUGUACGAAAGGAGGUGUAGAACACCGUUGUUAUGGGAUGAAGUUGGAGAUCGUCAGUUGUUUGGACCAGAUUUGAUUAAGGAGUCUGAACAGAAAGUGAGGUUGAUUCGCGAUAGGCUCAAGAUAGCCCAGUCCAGGCAGAAGAGUUAUGCUGAUUCUAAACGAAAGGAGACAGUUCACGAAGUCGGAGACAGAGUGCAUCUUUGAGUAUCACCACUUCUAGGAGUGAAGCGCUUUGGAGUUAAAGGAAAGUUAGCGCCCCGUUUUAUCGGACCAUACAGAGUGUUGGAACGUAUGGGAGAAGUUGCCUACAAGUUGGAAUUGCCCGAAGGAUUGUCUGGAGUUCAUGAUGUAUUUCACGUUUCGCAGUUGAAGAAGUGCCACGCAGAGAUGGCUGAGAUACCGCUGAGAGAUACUGUGCCACUGGAAGCGAUUCAGUUGGAAAGUGAUUUGACCUAUGAGGAGAAGCCAGUUAAGAUUCUCGAGUAUGCCAGCCGAGUUACCCGCAGCAAGGUUAUCAAGUUUUGCAAAGUUCAGUGGAGUCACCACACGGAAGACGAAGCCACCUGGGAGCGAGAGGAAGAUCUACGGAAAAACCACUCCCACCUGUUUUCUAGCCAACCCGAAUCUCGAGGGCGAGAUUCAUCUUAAGGGGGGUAGGUUUGUAACAUCCCAAAUUUUCAAUUUGGAAUGUUAUACAUAGAUCAUCAUUGCAUAUCAUGUUUUGUUGCAUUUUGACAAAAUCCUCAAUAAAUCCUAAGCAACUCAAGGACCCUCGGAGAGAGUUGGGGAUUUUCUCGAAUUUUCAAAUUUGAUUUUCAAAUGAGGAUUUGUGGUUUUAAUUAUUUUCCCUCCAGAAAAAUAUUUCAUUUUAAAUAAACGAGAGGAGAAAAUAUGACUUCUCCAAAACAAUUUAAAUACUGGAGGAAAAAUGUUAAAACCAUUAUUUGGAAUUUAUUUGCAAUUUUUAUUGCAUUAAAAAUAUUGCAUGUUUUCAAAAUAUUUAUUUUGGAUUUUAAAAAUGUUCACCCUAUUCUAGAUUUUCUAACUAGACGGGGAAAAUAUAUUUCAUAUUUUUCUGAUUUUUAUUUAUUUUUCUAUGAAUUAUUUUCCGCGGAACUUAUUUAAAAAAAACGCCCGCGCGCCGACUGGGCCAAAGGCCCAGCUGACGGCCCGCCUCGCGCCUUUCUCUUCCCGCACGGGAGCUCGCCGCCGCCAUGACCGAAUCCGGCCGCCGCACGCCUCCCCUCGCCCGACCCCUUCCCCNNNNNNNNNNCCCGCGCCCCUCGCCGCCCCUCGCCCCGAGCCGGAGCCCCUCGCCGGAGCCCGCCCGUCGAGGUACUGCCGCCGCCCGUUUCCGUCGUUGCAGGUUUUCUGUAAAAAAAACCCCUUCGUUUUUAAAAAAAAAAUCCUAGAUCGGUUUUUUUCGGUUUUAUUAUUUUACGAGCGUUCACUGAACCGUUCGUUUUAACGAACGCGUUCGUCGGUUUUUCUCUGUUAACGAACGUCCGUUAUUUAACCGUUCGUCCGUUUUUCUUUUUCGUCGGAUUUUUCUCGUUAUUUUCUCAGAUUCGAUUUCUGAUCGAAUCUUCGAUUCUGUUUAACUUCUCGCUCUUUUAUCGGAAUCAGGCAAUUCAAGCGCCUAGAGUUUCGUCUCGAAAUUCUCUUUCCGUUUAACCUACUCAAACAAGUUUUUGCUACAGUAAAAUUUGACCUAGAUCCAGAUUAGCAAACGAAGUUUCUUUCUUUCGCCGUUUGACCUUCGUUGCUUCUUUCGAGUUGAUUCUUUUUGCAAACCGGAGUUCUUAAGUUGAACUUUCUGGUUGGAUCUUUCAUUCGAGUUUUACCUGUGCAUUAGAUGAGUACUGAUUGUAUGCUUGUUUGUUUGCGAUAGAGUACCCGGAGUGUGCCGCUUGUUACUUCGAGUCGCUAGGUUUUGCGGAUCAUCAGCAAGGCAAGUAACACUUUGAUCAUAUCCAGUUCAUACCCAGUUUUAUUGCAUUAGAUCUGUUUUCCUCAAACAUUGCAUGAUUAGGAUCUAAUUAAAUUGUGGGUAUUGGGAAGUAGUUGAGGUAGAACCUAGUACCUGUUUUCUAUUCAAACCCUUGGGAGUUACUUCUACGUUGCUUUUAUUAUUGCUAUGCUAUGCUAGUAGACGUGGAUUGGGUUUGACUGAAAUUCAUGACAGAUGUGAGAUUGUUAAUUAAUGGUUUACUUAAGGUGGCAAUUUAAACUCACAUCUGGGUGGAUUGAGGUACCUGGGUAUUCCAGGAUUGCCUGUUUUUCUUUUGGACCGCCACCCAGGUUCAAGAGGAUCAUGAGAUUAUUCAUGCUAGAAACUUCUGUGUGCAGCCGCAAGCUAUUAUGGGCUCUAGCAUAGUUGACUAAGUUGUGUGAACUCUUACAGUGGUAGACUAGCAGAUGUAGGGGAAAGUAGGUGUAACUAUCUACCCAUACGUAAGGUGCAAACACUUCUGAAAGACUGUGUCUUGGUCAUCCGUUACUCAAACACCAUGUAGUGCGAGUAAUCCAACGGAGGAGAUCAAGUCUUGUGGGGAAAAGUGCACAAACCUCUGCAGAGUGUACAAACUAAUCAUGGUUAGCCGUGUCCCCGGUUAUGGACAACUUGAGUAUCUGGUACUUGGAUUAUCAUGUGAAUCCCAACACUAUGUUACUUCUAAUUAAUUUUGUUGGGUUAUUGAUGACUUCUAAUUGGGAUUGAGAUGCUGUCAACCAUCUCAAUGUUUCACAACCACCAUGAUAGUUAAAUAAAAUUUAUUCCUGUGAAGUAGGAUAAAAUUGGCUUUUCGCAAAAACUGUAACCAUAGAGCUUUCCACCAGCCAUAUAUGCAUGUAGUAUAGCAUUGUUAUUCAUUAUUCUCUAUGUGUUACAUUGCCAGCAUAUUCUAUGUGCUGACCCGUUUUCGGGCUGCAACGUUUCAUGUUGCAGACUUUUCAGACGACGAGUAAGAUGCCUUAGGUCGUGGUCUUAUACUCAGUGAUGCCGCUGGAGUUGAUGGACUCACUUAUCUUCCAAGUCUUCCGCUGUUAUCGUUAUUAGAUGGCCUUAAGCCAUGCUUAUCAUACUUAAUCUCUUCGGAGAUAUUCGAUGUAAAUAAGUGUGUGAUUGCCACUCUGUUAUAAAUCCUCCAUUUGUACUGUGCGUGUCAGUAUUACUGAUCCAGGGAUGACACUGGUGCACAGCAGCACAGACCAUUUGAGGUCUGGUCGCUACAUUAGAAUAGACCCACCCUGGGUGAUAUAUAGGGUGGGUCUAUUCUAAUAACACCAUUAAGAGUCUUAUUCUCGUCACCCUGGAUGAGGAAUAGUUAUUCUUCACCCCCCCAUCUAUUUUACCACCAAUGCACUAUAAUUUUACGUUCCGUAAGUUUUGUCUUAUUUCUGACGUAAAAAAGACCGUAAGAAAAUAUAUAUUCAUCGUAAAAAAUAUUUUAUGUUAUGUAUAAUUACAAACGUAAAAACAUAGUGUAAAAUUUACAUAAACUUCAAAUUUUCUUGUCUUAUGACCUAUAUUUUUAUUUUCUUAAACCAAAUUUUACGUAGUGAAUCAAUAGGAAUGUAACUAUUUGAAUUCCAAAUGUAAUUUAAUUAUGAAGUGAUCGUAAGAUUACCUCGGGUGCAGAAUAAGUUAUUCUUCACCCGAGAUAAUCUUACGAUCGUUUCAUAAAUAAAUUACAUAUGGAAUACAAAUAGUUACAUUCAUGUCGAUUCACUACGUAAAAUUUGGCAUAAAAAUAACCAGAAAGAUUGCAUUUUGUGUAUAUUUUACACUAUAUUUUUACGACUAUAUUUACGUAACAUAAAAUAUUUUUUACGGUGAUUUUUUUUUACGUUCUCUUAUUACAUAUGAAAUAAGACAAAAAUUUACGAAACGUAAAAUUACGGUGCAUUGAUGUUAAAAUAGAGGGGGUGAAGAAUAACUAUUCCUCACCCAUGGNNNNNNNNNNNNNNNNNNNNNNNNNNNNNNNNNNNNNNNNNNNNNNNNNNNNNNNNNNNNNNNNNNNNNNNNNNNNNNNNNNNNNNNNNNNNNNNNNNNNNNNNNNNNNNNNNNNNNNNNNNNNNNNNNNNNNNNNNNNNNNNNNNNNNNNNNNNNNNNNNNNNNNNNNNNNNNNNNNNNNNNNNNNNNNNNNNNNNNNNNNNNNNNNNNNNNNNNNNNNNNNNNNNNNNNNNNNNNNNNNNNNNNNNNNNNNNNNNNNNNNNNNNNNNNNNNNNNNNNNNNNNNNNNNCACCACACAUUAGCCACAGUUAGACAAAAAGUUUCACAUAUGGCCACAGGAAGCUGGAAACAACUCAUGAUGUAAGUUUAGCACAGGGGUGCGAACUUCUUUAAUCCAUUUGAGCCGGAUUUUAUUUUUCGUUUCUUUCGCAGUUUUCCAAUAUUUUUUUUAUUUUGUCUUUCUGUUUUCUUUGGCUUUCUUUAUUCUCCUUUUUCUUUCUUUUAUUUUGAUUCAUUUUUAUUUCUUCUUCUCCUUUUUUUCAUUCUUUUUUGCAUUUUGUUUCUUUGUUUUUGUCUAUUUUGUUUAUAUUUUCGGUUUUCUUUACUCUUUUGUUAUUAUUAUAAAAAAUAUGUCAACAAUAUUUUUCAAAUACACAUCUAACAAUUUUUAUCCAACUUUUUUUUCUUAUGUUUGUUUUCCUUUUCAUUCUAGAUUUUCGUAUAUGUCAAAACAUCUUUUUAAUAAAGUGAUCAACAUUUUUUGUAUACAUGUUCAACAUUGUCCGAACGCUUAUUCAACAUUUUAUAAAUAUUUGUUCAACAUUCUAAUACUUAUUCUACAUUUUUCAAAUACAUGUUUUUUUAAUACUUAUUCAACAUUUUCAAAUAAUUAUUUAACAUUUUCAAAUAUUUGUUAAACAUUUUUAAUACUUACUCAAUAUUUUUUAAUAAUUGUUCAAUAUUUUUCAUAAACUCAUUCUACAAUUUUUACUCCUUAUUCAACAUUUGUCGAAAACUUGUUCAACAUUUUUAGUACUUAUUCAAAAAAAAUACAUGUUCAAUAUUUUUUCAAAUACUUGUUCAACAUUUAUUUAAUACUUACUCAACAUCUUUCACCUACUUGUUCAACAUUUUUUGAAUGUGUUUCUCAAGAGUGUUNNNNNNNNNNNNNNNNNNNNNNNNNNNNNNNNNNNNNNNNNNNNNNNNNNNNNNNNNNNNNNNNNNNNNNNNNNNNNNNNNNNNNNNNNNNNNNNNNNNNNNNNNNNNNNNNNNNNNNNNNNNNNNNNNNNNNNNNNNNNNNNNNNNNNNNNNNNNNNNNNNNNNNNNNNNNNNNNNNNNNNNNNNNNNNNNNNNNNNNNNNNNNNNNNNNNNNNNNNNNNNNNNNNNNNNNNNNNNNNNNNNNNNNNNNNNNNNNNNNNNNNNNNNNNNNNNNNNNNNNNNNNNNNNNNNNNNNNNNNNNNNNNNNNNNNNNNNNNNNNNNNNNNNNNNNNNNNNNNNNNNNNNNNNNNNNNNNNNNNNNGGUGCCUGAAAUUUAGGUCACCUCUCCUCUGGCUGCCAUCGGGCCUCGGAUCUUCAAGACAUCUAUGUUCUUCGCCAACGUCUAGUGAUCAUUAUAAUUUUGUGAGAAUAAAUUUCCUCUCGUUCUUUUGGCGAUGCCAUGAGGUUAGAGAGUUUUUUGUCCUCGCAGAUCCGAUUAUUCGGAUCUGAUGAGUUUAUGUGAUUCUUUGUGGAGUUGAAAUCUUUCGUUGGCACCAUGGUGAAGAUAUAGUGAUUUGACGGCCUGCACUUUUAGGGGAUCAUCCCCGGCCAAAGUACGUUCAUCGAUCAAGGCUUCCUUUCUUUUUGAUGGGCGACUCAAGGCGCUUUUAAAAACCAUUAUUGGUAAUGUUCGUGCGGGUAAAAGAGUGACAAUAUCGUUGCUUCAGUCCAGUCCAAUUACAGCCUCUUUAACGAAGUAUUUGGAGUAUUUCUUCGAGCAGAGAUUGAUACCACAAAGGUGUUUUCAAGGGAUUUCAUUGUAAUGUAUUUUUUUGGAUCUUAUGUCCAAAUCAGUGAGUAUGAACAAGGUGUUUCCCAAAAAGAGAAGUUGAUUUAGGCUUGGCGACUCGUGCUUUCGGAAGACUGUUUGCGCACUGAUAUGCUUAGAACCUAUUUUCUGCAUGUAUCGUGCUUUCAGAAGACAGUUUGUGCAACUGAUAAUCUUACAAUCAUCAACAUGACAAGUUGGCAAUUACAGGAAGUGCAAGUAAGGUGGGAUCAUGUGUAAAGCCAUAUCAAGAAAUGCUAUCUAUUUUCUGCAUGCAUCUCCUUUAUCUUAAAAUCAUCAAAAUGCCAAGUUGGAAUUACAGGAAGUGCAAGUAAAGUGGUAUCAUGUAUAAAGCCAUAUCAAGAAAUGCUAUAUAUUUUUUGCAUCCAUCGCCUUUAUCGUAAAAUCAUCAAAAUGCCAAGUUGCAAUUACAGGAAGUGCAAGUAAAGUGGUAUCAUGUGUAAAGCCAUAUCAAGAAAUGCUAUCUAUGGCUUCAGAGUUCAGAUUCAACACAUUUGCACUGUCUAAAACAAGAGAAACAGCCAGUGUGGGAGACUUUGAGUACGAGCUAAUAAUAUCAAUGCACUCGAGUACUGAAACCUCUUAAUACAUAAAAAAUGGACAAACACAAUGUCGGUGGUUUUUCUUCCAUAUAACAACAAUCCUGGAUCGGUGCACACCAAUAUGUUAAUAAAACUCUCACAAUCAAACUUUGACAAACACAAUGCAAAUCGAUGUAGGCAUUCAUCAGUGUUAAACUAA
This 13344-nucleotide long non-coding RNA is filed under the name Triticum aestivum (bread wheat). RNAcentral's name for it is "long non-coding RNA (TAES_LNC008716)". Lineage: Eukaryota; Viridiplantae; Streptophyta; Magnoliopsida; Poales; Poaceae. The record is from RNAcentral.